GAUGAACGCUAGCGGCAGGCCUAACACAUGCAAGUCGAGGGAGGAGCUUUCGGGCUUCGACCGGCGUACGGGUGCGUAACGCGUAUACAAUCUGCCUUUCACAUAGGGAUAGCCCGAAGAAAUUUGGAUUAAUACCUAAUGGUAUAUAGAGGUGGCAUCACCUUUAUAUUAAAGCUGAGGCGGUGAAAGAUGAGUAUGCGCUCUAUUAGCUAGUUGGAGAGGUAACGGCUCCCCAAGGCGACGAUAGAUAGGGGUUCUGAGAGGGAUAUCCCCCACACUGGUACUGAGAUACGGACCAGACUCCUACGGGAGGCAGCAGUGAGGAAUAUUGGGCAAUGGUCGGAAGACUGAUCCAGCCAUGCCGCGUGCAGGAAGACGGCCUUAUGGGUUGUAAACUGCUUUUGCAGGGGAAGAAUAAGGACUACGCGUAGUUUGAUGACGGUACUCUGCGAAUAAGCAUCGGCUAACUCCGUG
RNAcentral lists this ribosomal RNA (474 nucleotides) under uncultured bacterium. RNAcentral describes it as "partial 16S ribosomal RNA". It matches the Rfam family "Bacterial small subunit ribosomal RNA", at positions 28 to 507 of the family's 1533-position model. The record is from RNAcentral.